This 430-nucleotide ribosomal RNA is filed under the name Pseudomonadota bacterium. RNAcentral describes it as "Proteobacteria bacterium partial 16S ribosomal RNA". It matches the Rfam family "Bacterial small subunit ribosomal RNA", at positions 355 to 776 of the family's 1533-position model. The record is from RNAcentral. Lineage: Bacteria; Pseudomonadati; Pseudomonadota.
UGGGGAAUAUUGGACAAUGGGGGGAACCCUGAUCCAGCCAUGCCGCGUGUGUGAAGAAGGCCUUAUGGUUGUAAAGCACUUUAAGCGAGGAGGAGGGUACUGGUAUUAAUACUACCAGCUACUGGACGUUACUCGCAGAAUAAGCACCGGCUAACUCUGUGCCAGCAGCCGCGGUAAUACAGAGGGUGCGAGCGUUAAUCGGAUUUACUGGGCGUAAAGCGUGCGUAGGCGGCUAAUUGAGUCGGAUGUGAAGUCCCCGAGCUUAACUUGGGAAUUGCAUUCGAUACUGGUUAGCUAGAGUGUGGGAGAGGAUGGUAGAAUUCCAGGUGUAGCGGUGAAAUGCGUAGAGAUCUGGAGGAAUACCGAUGGCGAAGGCAGCCAUCUGGCCUAACACUGACGCUGAGGUACGAAAGCAUGGGGAGCAAACAGG